This 373-nucleotide ribosomal RNA is filed under the name uncultured eukaryote. Its description in RNAcentral is "partial 18S ribosomal RNA". It matches the Rfam family "Eukaryotic small subunit ribosomal RNA", at positions 592 to 976 of the family's 1831-position model. The record is from RNAcentral.
CAAUAGCGUAUAUUUAAGUUGUUGCAGUUAAAAAGCUCGUAGUUGGAUUUCGGUUGAGAACGACCGGUCCGCCGUUUGGUGUGCACUGGCUGGUUUCAACUUCCUGUAGAGGACGCGCUCUGGCUUCACGGCUGGACGCGGAGUCUACGUGGUUACUUUGAAAAAAUUAGAGUGUUCAAAGCGGGCUUACGCUUGAAUAUUUCAGCAUGGAAUAACACUAUAGGACUCCUGUCCUAUUUCGUUGGUCUCGGGACGGGAGUAAUGAUUAAGAGGAACAGUUGGGGGCAUUCGUAUUUCAUUGUCAGAGGUGAAAUUCUUGGAUUUAUGAAAGACGAACUUCUGCGAAAGCAUUUGCCAAGGAUGUUUUCAUUAA